AAUUUAACUUGCUCAUGUUUAAGUAUAUCCUUUAUUUUAUGUAUUUCAGCAACAAUUUUUUUUCCUUUUUUAGUAUUCCUAUAAACGCAAGGCUGACUAUGCUAUUGAUCGCUACUUUAUCUCAUGAAUUCACGGUUUAUUUUUCAUCAUGGGUUAUACAUUUAUUUUCCUUUUUUUGUGCAUGUUAUUUAUUUGUUAACUAAUCUAGUUUAUUUUUUCAAUAUAUUACCACCCGAUUCGUGGCCUAUCCCCCAUAGUGGGUUUGUGCCAUUAAUUGAGGCAUCAUCAUCAUCAUCAUCAACUUAUCCACCACUCCAAAAAUUUCGUCCAGCUAAUACUGUCCAGUCAGUUUGUGAUUGAAGGAGAUGGGACUGAUUUUAGCACCGGCAUAAAUUCCGCACCCCACAUCGAACGACCACUGGUCAUAAAGCGGCGUGCCCGGUUCCUUGCAACAGGUCCAGAUGGCGCUCGCCUCCACCGCAUCGCUGGUCACACAAGAGGCGUGCAUAGCGUUCGCCGCCAGUGCUUCACAGCAAGUAUUACGGUUACAUAAGUUACAGCUGCCGGUAAGCGUGAGAAGCACUCAGGGAUCUUUGAAUGGUAUUGCCUUCCACUCUUAAAGGCGAAGCUUAAGCGCCCUUCAAACUUCUGUUUUAGCAGAUGAAUAUUCCAUCGAAAUAAAGUAUGGCAACCAAAGUUUACUCCGUUAUAUCCAUGUUCAUUAUAUUGAGUUUCCACUAUCUUUAACCGACUGCAUUUUUGAUCAUGGUGAAAGAAUAGACAGGUGUCUCAAUGACACCAUCGGUCUCCCGAGUGUUGUGACUACACCCCUGUUCGCUGUUCCUUCCUCUAUCAGCAGGGCACUCAUGUUGGGCUCAUUAGAGUUACUGUAUAUCGCUACCUUUGUAGGGAGCACAUACAGUAACUCUAGCGGUCAUAAUUUUCUGUCUGCUAGCGGCGUGAUGAUCUGUGUUCAUGUAUUUCCCUGCAAAUGCCCUUAAAACACGUGGAGUUACUUCUGUGGCGCUAAUAAAGCUCUUGCCGUUUCUGUAUUAUCGUUGCCCUUGAUAAUUACGAAAAAAAAUUGAAUAUGCACAUAGAAACUACCUACCGAUUUUGGUUUGCAGUGUGUGUAUCUAGCAUUAUACAAUGUCUUAAAUGAUGCCCCCUAGGGGGUAUCAUUUCCCAGUGUGAAAGGCAAGGAACCUCAUGGAGCAGUCUCCAAGAGUUUGUAUAAAAACUGGGAAAAGUUCCGUGUUGAAACAACCAAGGUAAUAUGUGCUCUUUAUCUUGAAUGCGAAAUUGUUACUUUGGUGUAAAUUUUUGGGUUUUAAGAGUCAAAACGAAGCUGCUUAACGUCACAUAUUGUCCCUGUAUAUGCUCCCAAAUGCAGCAGAGUUGCGUAAAGGUGCAGCAUUUUGUUCUAAAGCUAUGCUGUAAAACCACUCCUUGCAUGCACAGGAGCCAAAAGGGGCUUCUUUGUUGACUUCACACGUGUUUGGCGUAUGCGAGUAUCUUGUAACCAAAUUGAGAAAGGAAAAGGCCCUUUCACGCCUCCAGAACAUCGUAGCGAGUCGCAAAAAGUAUUAAACAAUAGGCAAAAUUAACGGUAUAGGCAGUCGAAAAUUAACCAUAUUGCACCAUACACUGCACUAUCUCAGAGAUUGGCCCACGUGGCCUCUUAGUAAAAAAAUAUGGUCAACCAAUUAAGCAUUAAUGCUAAAGACAAAGCCGACAUAUUUGCACGUGAAAUACGAUACGAAUAAGAUAAGAAAUGAGUGAGUAAUGAACAUAAAAAAAGACCGAUUAAAGAUAUUGCUACAGAACAGUAUUUGCGAUCACGAAGAGGCGAGCAGCGUGAAGACGACGAAGACGAUUAGAGGCUAGGGCGGGCUGUUGCCUCUUGGCGAAGUGCAGCGUAUUUCCUUGUAAAUAUACUUGUAUAUAGCUUUUCGUCUGCGUCUUCCUAUGUAACACAUCUGGUGGAGGUGGACGUUCCCUGUACCUCGUCACAGAGCUUCGCAGUGGACGGCACGUCGAGCCUUCCUUCAUGGCUCCCAGCGACGACAACUCGACUCCGCCGGCUCUGACACCUGCUGCCACAUACAUCACUCUCCCCACUCCCCGUGACCCUGGCGUAUUCUUGGGCAAAGAUGGGGAAGACAUCGAGGACUGGAUCAGCCUGUACGAACACGUCAGCCGCAAUAACCGGGUGCAGUCAUCAACGCUGGUUGCUUUGAAUACUCGAUGUGACUACCUGUGCCCGAGCUAAUCACCAGAUCAUUGCUGGAAUCAGAUCCCACCAAACUGGUGCUGAGGCAGGCCUCCUGCGCCACUUCUACUGCGCAGAAGCCUUGGAUGAUGCAAUGUAGAGCAUAAAAGCGUGCUUCACAUUUCGCCAGAGCCAUUAAUGCAGACGAUCCAGGCACGAUCACACCGAUGGCCUACUCACCUCACUUUUGUGCAUUACAGGUGCAUAAAACAACUUCAUUAACGAAAUAUUGCCUUCGUGCUUGGGUUGUCCUCCAGCUACGGGAGAUGAUGGGCGAUGAUAUGGGUGAAAGGGUUUUUGAAAAAACGGCCAUGACAGUGAAAGAACUUGCUGCCUUUUGAAGCUGCGUAAUAAGAUUGAUAACAUGAAUUAUAACCUAAGCUGUGAUCUUGGUUCACUUAAGAAGUCUACAGAUUUUAUGAGCGAAAGCUUCGAUGAAUUCAAAAAUGUACUUGGUAAUGUACAGGGUGAAUUGGGCGAUGUGAGGAUGGAACAAAUUCGACUUAAAAGUGAGAACAGCUGCCUCUAUAAAGAGUUGCAGGCUACUAGACAUGAACUGCUUGAACUACAAGAAUACAGUGGCAGAACAAAUCUUGAACUCAAAGGUAUUCCCAGGAUGCCUAAUGAGUCACUAUUGGGAGUUGUUACCACCCUGGCAGCAAAGGUUACUGUGCAGGUGACAGGCUGAUAUUGAUGUCGCACACCGCGUUCUAACAAAAAACAAAAGGCAAUCGAACAUUACUAUCAAAUUCAAGUCCUGUGCACCCCUUGACAACUUACUUCGAUGUGUAGAAAAAAGAAAGCCCGUCUUCUGCAGCCAAUUUUGGCCUGACAGAACGUAUAUAUAAAUGAGCACCUGAGCACUGAGUACAAACUUUUGCUCGUAAAGGUUAUUACUGCAAAGCAACACAACUGUAAAUAUGCUUGGGUACCGAGAGGACGAAUAUUAAUAAGGAAAGCGGAGAACUCCGUUGUCCUCCGCAUCUUCACGGAGGCUACACCGUAUGGCAUAACCGUAUGGCCUAGACUGUAUGGCAGAAUAUCCCCAAUAUGCUGACGACUCCUUCUGUUGAUAACUUUCAUAGAUUACAUAGUCCACACUCACUGCUUCAAUGCAAUUUAAGAAGCUUAGGAAAAAAUAUUGAUGUUCUUCUUACACUGUUGGCACAGUACAAUAACAUGUAUGAUGUCAUAGCCGUCACGGAAACUUGGCUAAAGCCUGUUGAAAGUUAACAUUCCAAAUUAUGCUUUUGUCUCGUGUCCUAGAAUUGCUGAAAACAGUGGAGGAGAGGUGGGAUUUUAUAUUAGAAGCUUACUCCGGUAUAGGCUUUAUUCCUUGAACAGACCUACUAGCGGACACUUGGAGAUGUUUUUUGUAGGGGUGGACAAUGUCAUAAUUGGUGUCAUAUACUGUCCCUCGCAUACUGAUUGUAGCUUGUUUUUAAAUGACCUAGAAUAUGUUCUCAUUCACCUGACCAAAAAUAGUAAGAAAGCCGUUAUAGUCGGCGACAUGAAUAUUGACACUGUUAGUAGCAGACACCAUGAAUAUUCAAACUUACUGUCUUCGUAUGGAUUUAGUAACCUCAUCAUUGGUCCCACGCAAAUUAAAAGUCAUACCUCAACUUGCCUUAAUCACAUCUUAAGGAACUUUGAUGCCACUGAAAUCCUUUAUAAAGCCUACAAUACAGGUCCUGCAGACCACUUACUGAUUGCAUUUCUAUAUUGUCUUGAAGAUAGAUACAUAUUUUAACUAGACAAAUUUUUCCAGAACAACAAGUGAAUUGAUUAUGAAAAACUGUCACUGUCACUUUCUAACAUGUCAUACUCCGACUUAGAUGACUUAAAUGCUAACAUGCACUGUUCUAUGCUAAUAGAAAGACUUAAAGGUACAGUUACAGAGCCCACUCAAAUAAAAGUAA
Molecule: long non-coding RNA, 4191 nt
Organism: Dermacentor andersoni
Lineage: Eukaryota; Metazoa; Arthropoda; Arachnida; Ixodida; Ixodidae
Source: RefSeq, a predicted model, not a curated record